AAGUUGUAAAUGAGGAUUGGAGGAAAUUAAAUAAAUGGUUGUUCUGGCUACAGUUUGUUUAAUUUCCUCCAAUAUCUCAUCUACAGCUU
RNAcentral lists this microRNA precursor (89 nucleotides) under Jatropha curcas. RNAcentral's name for it is "MIR2275 microRNA precursor family". It matches the Rfam family "MIR2275 microRNA precursor family". The record is from Rfam by way of RNAcentral. Lineage: Eukaryota; Viridiplantae; Streptophyta; Magnoliopsida; Malpighiales; Euphorbiaceae.